This 253-nucleotide ribosomal RNA is filed under the name uncultured bacterium. RNAcentral's name for it is "partial 16S ribosomal RNA". It matches the Rfam family "Bacterial small subunit ribosomal RNA", at positions 524 to 776 of the family's 1533-position model. RNAcentral also lists the same sequence under 1 other name. The record is from RNAcentral.
UACGGAGGGUGCGAGCGUUGUCCGGAAUCACUGGGCGUAAAGGGCGCGUAGGUGGCCUCUUAAGUGUGUGGUGAAAGCCCGGGGCUCAACCCCGGGUCGGCCAUGCAAACUGGGGGGCUUGAGCAUUGUAGAGGCAGGCGGAAUUCCGGGUGUAGCGGUGGAAUGCGUAGAGAUCCGGAAGAACACCGGUGGCGAAGGCGGCCUGCUGGGCAAUUGCUGACACUGAGGCGCGACAGCGUGGGGAGCAAACAGG